GACGAACGCUGGCGGCGUGCCUAAUACAUGCAAGUUGAGCGAUGAAGAUUGGUGCUUGCACCAAUUUGAAGAGCAGCGAACGGGUGAGUAACGCGUGGGAAUCUGCCUUUGAGCGGGGGACAACAUUUGGAAACGAAUGCUAAUACCGCAUAACAACUUUAAACAUAAGUUUUAAGUUUGAAAGAUGCAAUUGCAUCACUCAAAGAUGAUCCCGCGUUGUAUUAGCUAGUUGGUGAGGUAAAGGCUCACCAAGGCGAUGAUACAUAGCCGACCUGAGAGGGUGAUCGGCCACAUUGGGACUGAGACACGGCCCAAACUCCUACGGGAGGCAGCAGUAGGGAAUCUUCGGCAAUAGACGAAAGUCUGACCGAGCAACGCCGCGUGAGUGAAGAAGGUUUUCGGAUCGUAAAACUCUGUUGGUAGAGAAGAACGUUGGUGAGAGUGGAAAGCUCAUCAAGUGACGGUAACUACCCAGAAAGGGACGGCUAACUACGUG
Molecule: ribosomal RNA, 496 nt
Filed under: uncultured bacterium
Lineage: Bacteria
Description: partial 16S ribosomal RNA
Rfam family: Bacterial small subunit ribosomal RNA
Source: RNAcentral